AUCGCUUCUCGGCCUUUUGGCUAAGAUCAAGUGUAGUAUCUGUUCUUAUCAGUUUUAAUAUCUGAUACGUCCCCUAUCUGGGGACCAUAUAUUAAAUGGAUUUUUGGAACAGGGAGAUGGAAGAAGAGCUUGCUCUGUCCACUCCACGCAUCGACCUGGUAUUGCAGUACCUCCAGGACCGGUGCACCUCUC
This 192-nucleotide small nuclear RNA is filed under the name Xenopus tropicalis (tropical clawed frog). RNAcentral's name for it is "U2 spliceosomal RNA (ENSXETG00000041540.1)". It matches the Rfam family "U2 spliceosomal RNA". Rfam says of the family: U2 is a small nuclear RNA (snRNA) component of the spliceosome (involved in pre-mRNA splicing). Lineage: Eukaryota; Metazoa; Chordata; Amphibia; Anura; Pipidae. The record is from Rfam by way of RNAcentral.